Molecule: ribosomal RNA, 1372 nt
Filed under: uncultured bacterium
Lineage: Bacteria
Description: bacterial SSU rRNA
Rfam family: Bacterial small subunit ribosomal RNA
Source: RNAcentral
GAUGAACGCUGGCGGCGUGCCUAAUACAUGCAAGUCGAGCGAACGGACGAGAAGCUUGCUUCUCUGAUGUUAGCGGCGGACGGGUGAGUAACACGUGGAUAACCUACCUAUAAGACUGGGAUAACUUCGGGAAACCGGAGCUAAUACCGGAUAAUAUUUUGAACCGCAUGGUUCAAAAGUAAAAGACGGUCUUGCUGUCACUUAUAGAUGGAUCCGCGCUGCAUUAGCUAGUUGGUAAGGUAACGGCUUACCAAGGCAACGAUGCAUAGCCGACCUGAGAGGGUGAUCGGCCACACUGGAACUGAGACACGGUCCAGACUCCUACGGGAGGCAGCAGUAGGGAAUCUUCCGCAAUGGGCGAAAGCCUGACGGAGCAACGCCGCGUGAGUGAUGAAGGUCUUCGGAUCGUAAAACUCUGUUAUUAGGGAAGAACAUAUGUGUAAGUAACUGUGCACAUCUUGACGGUACCUAAUCAGAAAGCCACGGCUAACUACGUGCCAGCAGCCGCGGUAAUACGUAGGUGGCAAGCGUUAUCCGGAAUUAUUGGGCGUAAAGCGCGCGUAGGCGGUUUUUUAAGUCUGAUGUGAAAGCCCACGGCUCAACCGUGGAGGGUCAUUGGAAACUGGAAAACUUGAGUGCAGAAGAGGAAAGUGGAAUUCCAUGUGUAGCGGUGAAAUGCGCAGAGAUAUGGAGGAACACCAGUGGCGAAGGCGACUUUCUGGUCUGUAACUGACGCUGAUGUGCGAAAGCGUGGGGAUCAAACAGGAUUAGAUACCCUGGUAGUCCACGCCGUAAACGAUGAGUGCUAAGUGUUAGGGGGUUUCCGCCCCUUAGUGCUGCAGCUAACGCAUUAAGCACUCCGCCUGGGGAGUACAACCGCAAGGUUGAAACUCAAAGGAAUUGACGGGGACCCGCACAAGCGGUGGAGCAUGUGGUUUAAUUCGAAGCAACGCGAAGAACCUUACCAAAUCUUGACAUCCUUUGACAACUCUAGAGAUAGAGCUUUCCCCUUCGGGGGACAAAGUGACAGGUGGUGCAUGGUUGUCGUCAGCUCGUGUCGUGAGAUGUUGGGUUAAGUCCCGCAACGAGCGCAACCCUUAAGCUUAGUUGCCAUCAUUAAGUUGGGCACUCUAAGUUGACUGCCGGUGACAAACCGGAGGAAGGUGGGGAUGACGUCAAAUCAUCAUGCCCCUUAUGAUUUGGGCUACACACGUGCUACAAUGGACAAUACAAAGGGCAGCGAAACCGUGAGGUCAAGCAAAUCCCAUAAAGUUGUUCUCAGUUCGGAUUGUAGUCUGCAACUCGACUACAUGAAGCUGGAAUCGCUAGUAAUCGUAGAUCAGCAUGCUACGGUGAAUACGUUCCCGGGUCU